AGUUUAAGAGCAGCUCCACCCCUUUGGGAAAUAAUUGCUUAGGCAAUUGGGCAAUAGGCAGUUGGCUUUUGAGGUUUGAUUUUUGUUUGUGUUUUGCUGCAGUUGAGUUGAAGAGUUGUGUUUUUAAUAACCUACAGUCAAUUAUAAAUCAUGCUUUGAUAGAAACCAACUGAUUCAGCUGUAACUUCCCAACUUGAGGCCAUUUGAAGAACACAAUGAUCAAUUUAUGUCUAUGAGCCUUUGUUGAAUCUUGUUUAGAAUUUCGGGUUUCCUUUAGGAGAUGAUUCUCACACACCCAUUUUUAGCCUCUCACAUACCCCUAUUUACUUUUGGCUAUUUGUUGACCCUAAAAACUACCAAGCCUACGUGGUGCACAGGCUGAGU
RNAcentral lists this long non-coding RNA (384 nucleotides) under Malus domestica (apple). RNAcentral's name for it is "long non-coding RNA (MDOM_LNC007682)". The record is from RNAcentral. Lineage: Eukaryota; Viridiplantae; Streptophyta; Magnoliopsida; Rosales; Rosaceae.